RNAcentral lists this ribosomal RNA (498 nucleotides) under uncultured bacterium. RNAcentral describes it as "partial 16S ribosomal RNA". It matches the Rfam family "Bacterial small subunit ribosomal RNA", at positions 30 to 523 of the family's 1533-position model. The record is from RNAcentral.
AUUGAACGCUGGCGGCAUGCCUUACACAUGCAAGUCGAACGGUAACAGGUCUUCGGAUGCUGACGAGUGGCGAACGGGUGAGUAAUACAUCGGAACGUGCCUAGUAGUGGGGGAUAACUACUCGAAGGAGUGGCUAAUACCGCAUGAGAUCUACGGAUGAAAGCAGGGGAUCGCAAGACCUUGUGCUACUAGAGCGGCCGAUGGCAGAUUAGGUAGUCGGUGGGAUAAAAGCUUACCAAGCCGACGAUCUGUAGCUGGUCUGAGAGGACGAUCAGCCACACUGGGACUGAGACACGGCCCAGACUCCUACGGGAGGCAGCAGUGGGGAAUUUUGGACAAUGGGCGCAAGCCUGAUCCAGCAAUGCCGCGUGCAGGAUGAAGGCCUUCGGGUUGUAAACUGCUUUUGUACGGAACGAAAAGCCCCGGGUUAAUACCCUGGGGUCAUGACGGUACCGUAAGAAUAAGCACCGGCUAACUACGUGCCAGCAGCCGCCGUAA